CUGGAGAGCAGGACUGCAGAAAGGAACUGGUCAAUGGCAAGUCGAACAUAAGUUAGCAGUGCCCUGGCAGCCAGGAGGGCCAACCAUGUCCUGGGGGGGAUCAGGCAAAGCAUCACCAGCCAGUCGAGGGAGGGGAUUGUCCCACUCUGCUCUGCACUGAUGCAGCCUCACCUUGAAUUUGUGGCAGCUUUGGGUGCCACACUAUAAGAAAGAUAUGAAGUCAUUAUAGAGUGUGCAAAGGAGAGCUAUAAAGAUGGUGAAGGGCCUUGAGGGGAAGCCAUAUGAGGAGCAGCUGAGGUCACUUGGUCUGUUCAGCCUG
Molecule: long non-coding RNA, 319 nt
Organism: Corapipo altera (White-ruffed manakin)
Lineage: Eukaryota; Metazoa; Chordata; Aves; Passeriformes; Pipridae
Exons: 3
Source: RefSeq, a predicted model, not a curated record